AUUGAACGCUGGCGGCAUGCUUUACACAUGCAAGUCGAACGGGGUGAAGGGGCAACUCUUCAUUCAGUGGCGAACGGGUGAGUAAUGCAUCGGAACGGUACCUCGUAGUGGGGGAUAACUCGGCGAAAGCCGUGCUAAUACCGCAUAUGCUCUACGGAGGAAAGCAGGGGACCUGAAAGGGCCUUGUGCUAUGGGAGCGGCCGAUGUCCGAUUAGCUAGUUGGGGGGUAAUGGCCUACCAAGGCGACGAUCGGUAGCUGGUCUGAGAGGAUGAUCAGCCACACUGGGACUGAGACACGGGCCCAGACUCCUACGGGAGGCAGCAGU
Molecule: ribosomal RNA, 326 nt
Filed under: uncultured bacterium
Lineage: Bacteria
Description: bacterial SSU rRNA
Rfam family: Bacterial small subunit ribosomal RNA
Source: RNAcentral